This 502-nucleotide ribosomal RNA is filed under the name uncultured delta proteobacterium. RNAcentral describes it as "bacterial SSU rRNA". It matches the Rfam family "Bacterial small subunit ribosomal RNA", at positions 565 to 1063 of the family's 1533-position model. Lineage: Bacteria; Deltaproteobacteria. The record is from RNAcentral.
GGGAGCGCAGGCUGCCAGAUAAGUCAGAUGUGAAAGCCCGGGGCUCAACCCCGGAAGUGCAUUUGAAACUGUUUGGCUUGAGUAUGGUAGAGGGAAGUGGAAUUCCAGGUGUAGCGGUGAAAUGCGUAGAUAUCUGGAGGAACACCGGUGGCGAAGGCGACUUCCUGGACCAAUACUGACGCUGAGGCUCGAAGGUGUGGGUAGCAAACAGGAUUAGAUACCCUGGUAGUCCACACAGUAAACGGUGAUCACUAGGUGUUGCGGGUAUUGACCCCUGCAGUGCCGCAGCUAACGCAUUAAGUGAUCCGCCUGGGGAGUACGGUCGCAAGAUUAAAACUCAAAGGAAUUGACGGGGGCCCGCACAAGCGGUGGAGCAUGUGGUUUAAUUCGACGCAACGCGAAGAACCUUACCUGGACUUGACAUCCCGAGAAUGUUUAUGAAAAUAGACAGUGCACUUCGGUGAAUUCGGUGACAGGUGCUGCAUGGCUGUCCUCAGCUCGU